UGGAUCACCUCCUAACAGGGAGACAAACAACGAUUUUGAUGCCUGAGUGAAUUAUUCUUAGGCCAAAAUCCUGUCACCUUAGGUCGAUCGGUACCUCAACUCUGAAGUCAAGAAUGCAUAGCAAUAUGUAUUGCUUGAUGGAGAUUUUCAGUUCCUAAAUUUUGUCUAGGUCACACCCCACAAGGGUUGAGUUUUCCUGGGCCAUUAGCUCAGGUGGUAGAGCGCACCCCUGAUAAGGGUGAGGUCCCUGGUUCAAGUCCAGGAUGGCCCAUUCGGUGUUGGGGGUUUAGCUCAGUUGGUAGAGCGCCUGCUUUGCAAGCAGGAUGUCAGGAGUUCGAGUCUCCUAACCUCCACUGACCGAACUCAACGUCCAGCUUUGCAUCGAAGGAUGGAAAGCGUCUCGAUUGUGAAGUGUGAUCUGGAACUGUCCGCUGGAUGAUCCCAGCUUCCUGUCAUUCCAAAGAGUGAGUGUGAACUCAGAAUUUGGUUGAUAAGACGCUGGGCUCAAAUAAGGAUGUUGAAUGAUCAACAUUUUUGUUUGAUGUCUGGCAGAACCUUGACAACUGCAUAGGUGAGUCUGGAAAAAACAAAGCAUCUCAUGGAUGCAUUGUUUUGAGUCUGAACAUUCGAAUAAAUGUUUGGAACCAGAGCAAUGAAAAUUCUUUUGAGCAAGAGCCGAGACUCUUGAACGUUCUUUGAUUUGUGUCGAGCAGAUCAGAGUUUGAUUGUAUUUUCAGUCAAAGUGAAAACCAAGAUUGAAAGUAUGAGAAUCUGUUUACAACGACAGCAAGCGUUCAGAGAAUAAAUUGGUCAAGCUACAAAGGGCUCAUGGUGGAUACCUUGGCACACAGAGGCGAUGAAGG
RNAcentral lists this transfer RNA (863 nucleotides) under uncultured Synechococcus sp. Its description in RNAcentral is "partial contains 16S ribosomal RNA, 16S-23S ribosomal RNA intergenic spacer, and 23S ribosomal RNA". The stretch from base 281 to 353 matches the Rfam family "tRNA". The record is from RNAcentral. Lineage: Bacteria; Bacillati; Cyanobacteriota; Cyanophyceae; Synechococcales; Synechococcaceae.